CCUCCCCUUAUAAAACAAAACAAAAUAAAUUAGCAAGAUUGCAAAUCUGGUCUGACAUAUAGAUUCCAUAUUUUUGUAGCACUCUUUAUGUGAAUAAUGAAAUUCAUUCAACCUUUCAACUCAUGUGUAUGUUAGGGUAAAAACAUUUUUACUAAUGUUUCUACAAUAAAUACACGUUCAUUUUCCAAAUCAUCAAAUAUUUGAAUUGGCCUCCUCCCAUUAUAAGAAUGACACAUACAUCACUUGUGUGC
RNAcentral lists this long non-coding RNA (251 nucleotides) under Trifolium pratense (red clover). Its description in RNAcentral is "long non-coding RNA (TPRA_LNC009820)". Lineage: Eukaryota; Viridiplantae; Streptophyta; Magnoliopsida; Fabales; Fabaceae. The record is from RNAcentral.